UUUUAAUAUUAAAAUAGAAACCAUGUAGGUUGUUGGCGUUCUGAGAUCGCACCUACUACACCGGCCGCACCUCACCACCUACCCCCUUGUUUAAUCUCUGGAUCCGAUCCCUGGAAAAAGGAGCUAGCAACGCUUCACAUUCGUAUCCUUUGCUCGUCGACCAUGUCAGCUUCCAUCCAAUCCUCCGGCGGCGUUAUCACUUGCAGAGCCGCGGUGGCGUGGGGGCCAGGGCAGCCGCUGGUGCUGGAAGAGGUGGAGGUCGCCCCGCCCAAGUCCAUGGAGAUCCGCGUCAAGGUCGUCUGCACCUCCCUCUGCCGCAGCGACGUUACUCAGUGGCAAUCUCAGGCACAGCCUGAUCUGUUUCCUCGAAUUUUUGGUCACGAGGCAUCUGGGAUCGUGGAGGGUAUAGGAGAUGGUGUAACUGAGUUUGAGAUUGGUGAUCAUGUGUUAACAGUGUUCAUAGGAGAAUGUGGGAGAUGUACGCAUUGCCGGUCCAGCAAGAGCAACAUGUGCCAAAACUUGGGGCUGGAAAGGAGAGGACUGAUGCACAGCGAUCAGAUGACACGGUUUAGAGUGAAAGGGAGACCUGCUUAUCAUUAUUGCGCAGUCUCUAGCUUUAGCGAGUACAUAGUUGUGCACUCAGGUUGUGCUGUUAAGAUAAACCCUACUGUGAGAAUGGAUAGGGCAUGCCUUCUCAGUUGCGGAGUCGCUGCAGGAAUUGGAGCUGCUUGGAAUGUUGCCGAUAUAUCAAAAGAGUCAACUAUAGUAAUUUUUGGACUUGGUACCGUGGGCCUUUCAGUAGCUCAAGCUGCCAAAAUAAGAGGUGCUUCACGGAUAAUUGGAGUGGACAUAAAUCCAGAAAAAUUUGAGAAAGGAAAGACUUUUGGAGUUACUGAAUAUAUCAACCCAGAUGAGUGCAGAGAACCUGUUCAGCAGGUUAUCAAGAAACUGACUGAUGGAGGGGCAGAUUUUUCUUUUGAAUGCAUUGGUGAUACUGAUAUUGUAUCAACAGCCUUACAGUCUUGUUGUGAUGGUUGGGGAGUGACCGUGACUUUGGGUGUACCAAAAACCAAACCAGAAGUUUCAACUCAUUAUGCUUUUCUUCUAACUGGAAGAACUUUAAAGGGUUCCCUAUUUGGAGGUUGGAAACCAAAGUCUGAUCUUCCAUCAUUGGUUGACAAAUACUCAAAUGGGGGGAAGUUUUCUUUAUCCAGCAUUAGAGGAAGAUCAAGUAGAAGCAUUCAUGCCACACAAUCUUCACAACGAGAAUGAACCACACCAGUCACACAAUCUCCACAAUGAGAAUGAACCACACCACACUUGUAGAUGUCAUCCGGGCCAGCCUUUAUAAUAGGAAAUCAAAUUGGAUGAACUUGUUACACAUGAAAUACCAUUUGAAAGAAUUAAUGAUGCAUUCGACCUAAUGAGAGAAGGAAGUUGCUUGCGAUGUGUGAUUCAUAUGCAAAAGGAAUUAUAGGUAUGGAAGUCUGGA
Molecule: RNA transcript, 1492 nt
Organism: Zingiber officinale
Lineage: Eukaryota; Viridiplantae; Streptophyta; Magnoliopsida; Zingiberales; Zingiberaceae
Gene name: alcohol dehydrogenase-like 6
Exons: 11
Source: RefSeq, a predicted model, not a curated record